GGUAGUCGUACGCGGUGUGCGUAGUUUUGCAUGUCGAGCGGAUCGAUGGGAGCUUGCUCCCUGAGAUCAGCGAGCGGACGGGUGAGUAACACGUGGGUAACCUGCCUGUAAGACUGGGAUAACUCCGGGAAACCGGGGCUAAUACCGGAUAACACCUACCCCCGCAUGGGGGAAGGUUGAAAGGUGGCUUCGGCUAUCACUUACAGAUGGACCCGCGGCGCAUUAGCUAGUUGGUGAGGUAAUGGCUCACCAAGGCGACGAUGCGUAGCCGACCUGAGAGGGUGAUCGGCCACACUGGGACUGAGACACGGCCCAGACUCCUACGGGAGGCAGCAGUAGGGAAUCUUCCGCAAUGGACGAAAGUCUGACGGAGCAACGCCGCGUGAGUGAAGAAGGUUUUCGGAUCGUAAAACUCUGUUGUUAGGGAAGAACAAGUGCCGUUCGAAUAGGGCGGCGCCUUGACGGUACCUAACCAGAAAGCCACGGCUAACUACGUGCCAGCAGCCGCGGUAAUACGUAGGUGGCAAGCGUUGUCCGGAAUUAUUGGGCGUAAAGCGCGCGCAGGUGGUUUCUUAAGUCUGAUGUGAAAGCCCACGGCUCAACCGUGGAGGGUCAUUGGAAACUGGGGAACUUGAGUGCAGAAGAGGAAAGUGGAAUUCCAAGUGUAGCGGUGAA
This 675-nucleotide ribosomal RNA is filed under the name Bacillus sp. HPC930. RNAcentral's name for it is "bacterial SSU rRNA". It matches the Rfam family "Bacterial small subunit ribosomal RNA", at positions 28 to 685 of the family's 1533-position model. The record is from RNAcentral. Lineage: Bacteria; Bacillati; Bacillota; Bacilli; Caryophanales; Bacillaceae.